This is a long non-coding RNA of Eriocheir sinensis (Chinese mitten crab), 757 nucleotides long. RefSeq lists it as uncharacterized. The transcript is spliced from 4 exons. Lineage: Eukaryota; Metazoa; Arthropoda; Malacostraca; Decapoda; Varunidae. The record is from RefSeq and is a predicted model, not a curated record.
CAGAGUUGAUAGAGUUUUCGGGUCACCUACACGCCGAACACUUGCCGCUACUGCCACGAGGCCUGAAGCGGCUGUGGUUGGCUGUACCCGGGGAGGAAGAGGCGGCUGUGCUCCUGUCUGAACUUCAACAUGUGCGCGUCUACUGCCCUCACCUCGUAUGGCUGUGGAUCCACGUCCCGGUGUCGUCAGUGACCGCUUCUUCCCCCUCACCGCUGCCUGAUCUUCGCCAUGGUGUGUUUCUCCUUCUGUCUGGCGUGACCGAUGGAGAGGUUGAGGCAGCCUGUCGCAUUGCAGCAGCCAUGUGUCCCAGGGAGACAGGGUAUAGGCGUAUUCGUUUCCCCGGUGCCUCGCUGGACUUCGGUGGAUACAGGCGGCUGCUGGAGGGACUGAGGGCAGCUGGCGUGAAGGUGGACGGGUAUGUUCUUGUGCCAGACACCGACGCCAUCACUGAGGCUGAAGGGAAGGAGCUGGGCACCCUCGCUAAGUCCUUGCUGGGGUGUAGGUUUUUCAGGCGGCCCGAGGAUUGGGUGUGGACCUAUCCUAUCAUUACUCCCCGGUGAGGUGGUGUCUGGUGCGUGGUCGGCCUGGAGGGGCUUCCAUCCGGGUCCUGCUCCUACAGACAGAUCGUCACGCCGGAAUGUUUUUGAAAUUAUUAUUGGCUGAAGGGGUAUCCUGUGCCCAAAAAGAACAACAAAAAUAACAACAACAAUCAUCAUAAUGCUGAAAUAAGGAUAAUAUUGUAGAUGUUGAUAUUAUU